This 72-nucleotide transfer RNA is filed under the name Leptospiraceae bacterium. Its description in RNAcentral is "tRNA-Ile". It matches the Rfam family "tRNA". From Rfam's summary of the family: Transfer RNA (tRNA) molecules are approximately 80 nucleotides in length. Lineage: Bacteria; Pseudomonadati; Spirochaetota; Leptospiria; Leptospirales; Leptospiraceae. The record is from RNAcentral.
GGGCCUAUAGCUCAGCGGUAGAGCCGAGGACUCAUAAUCCUUUGGUCCCAGGUUCGAAUCCUGGUGGGCCCA